Gracilinanus agilis (Agile Gracile Mouse Opossum) is the source of this 1298-nucleotide long non-coding RNA. RefSeq lists it as uncharacterized. The transcript is spliced from 5 exons. The record is from RefSeq and is a predicted model, not a curated record. Lineage: Eukaryota; Metazoa; Chordata; Mammalia; Didelphimorphia; Didelphidae.
UAGACACCAUCGCCCUCCUCCCCAACCCAUCCCACCCCACGCCCCGCCCCAACUCUUCCCACCGCUCGAGGUCAACUGUCCUGUGGUGCGGACCCCCGACUCCCUGCCCCCAAGCUUGGGCUCCCCUCUGGGAUUUUGCGGGUGUCGGGGUCUCCAGAGAGAGAAGGGCACUCCAGCAAAACAAGCCUCUUGGGGCCAAUCAGGGCAGCAUUUGUGAGCAUGCACGCCCCAUAGCAUCUCACUCCAGAAGCUCCACUCCAAGCCUGCCUUUGAAGUGUUAAAGAUGUUCAAUUGGUUUGUGAAAAAACGGAUCUCCCCAUCUCUGAAAGACUUCUGACAAAAAAUUCUAUCCACCGCCGGAGAAAGAACUGAGUCCAAAGGACUUCAGAUUUGAAUGCACCAGGACGUAGCUACAAGACUAUCUACUAUAUAAAGGAACCCUAUUUAAGACUUGAAGUGCCUCUGGUGAGCUCCUUCAAGGUUUAUCCAUUGGAUGACAUUGAUAGCAUCAAAGAAUCUUAGACCUUCAAAUCUGUAAAGAACUUUUGAGUCCCUUAAGAAGAGAAAAGAAGGAAAAAAGAAAAGAAAAAAAGAGAAAGAUCCCCCAAAUUGCUCUCUGAGGUCCUGAAGAGAAAGGCUGGAAGGCUGAGGAUGGGAAAAUGAGUCCGAGAUGGAUGGACCAGAUGCCUGCUGGGAGAAGCAUUUGAACCAGUUUACCAGAAUCAGGCAAAAGAUAACUUGAAAAUUAGUCAGCAAGCCCCUGUACUCUUUGUGUCAAGCCCCAAGAGUAGGACAGCACCUCAUCACUGAGAUCUACAACCAUCCAGAAGUGUUCGGUCAACAAUCUAAAGAGGAAAACUCAAAUGGAUGAAAAAUGUUCAUAAAUAAGAGCUGACAUUUAUCCCAUACUCAAAGGCUUGCAAACCAAUUUUUCUAUGCAUUAUCUCAAUUGAUCAUCACAACAAGCCCAGUGAAGUAAGUGGUUUGAGUAAAUCAUGCUCCAGAGUGGAAUCUCUGUUUCCCCUUUAUUAUAUGGUGGGAAUUAAAUGUGAGUUUUUAGACUUGGUCAAUGUGAGGCUUAGCUUUUUAAACUAUGUGUAUUUGUUCAAAGUUGUUUUUUUUUAAUUUGAUGGGUAUCUUGGAGAAAUUAGGGGAAUUCUGUGAUAAGACCGAAAAAAAAGAGUCAUCAAAGCACUUUCUUCCAAUGCACAGAGAGAUCAAAUGGAAGUCCAGAAAGAAACACAAUCAGCACAGCUUUGGAAGUCACACAUUUAUUAUAUGGUUAAGAGGAAAAGCAA